CCUACGGGGGGCAGCAGUGGGGAAUAUUGCACAAUGGGGGAAACCCUGAUGCAGCGACGCCGCGUGAGUGAAGAAGUAUUUCGGUAUGUAAAGCUCUAUCAGCAGGGAAGAAAGUGACGGUACCUGACUAAGAAGCCCCGGCUAACUACGGGCCAGCAGCCGCGGUAAUACGUAGGGGGCAAGCGUUAUCCGGAUUUACUGGUCGUAAAGUGAGCGGAGACGGCCAGACAAGUCAGAAGUGAAAGCCCAGGGCUCAACCCUGGGACUGCUUUUGAGACUGCCGGGCUGGAGUGCAGGAGAGGUGAGUGGAAUUCCAGGUGUAGCGGUGAAAUGUGUAGAUAUUAGGAGGAAUACCAGUGGCGAAGGCGGCUCACUGGACUGUGACUGACGUUGAGGCUCGAAAGCGUGGGGAGCAAACAGGAUUAGAUACCCGAGUAGUC
RNAcentral lists this ribosomal RNA (440 nucleotides) under uncultured bacterium. Its description in RNAcentral is "partial 16S ribosomal RNA". It matches the Rfam family "Bacterial small subunit ribosomal RNA", at positions 338 to 795 of the family's 1533-position model. The record is from RNAcentral.